AGAGUUUGAUCCUGGCUCAGAACGAACGCUGGCGGCGUGCCUCAUACAUGCAAGUCGAACGAGAAAGUGAUUUUCGAAUCGCGAGUAAAGUGGCGAACGGGUGAGUAACGCGUGGGUAAUCUGCCCUCGAGUGGGGAAUAACAUUCCUAACGGGAUGCUAAUACCGCAUAACACCACCGUAUCGCAUGGUACGGUGGUCAAAGGUGGCCUCUACUUGUAAGCUGUCGCUUGAGGAUGAGCCCGCGUUUCAUUAGCUUGUUGGUGAGGUAACGGCUCACCAAGGCAUCGAUGAAUAGCCGGCCUGAGAGGGUGUCCGGCCACACUGGGACUGAGAUACGGCCCAGACUCCUACGGGAGGCAGCAGUAGGGAAUUUUGCGCAAUGGGGGAAACCCUGACGCAGCAACGCCGCGUGGGUGAUGAAGCUCCUUGGAGUGUAAAACCCUGUCAGGAGGGAAGAAGCUAUCAUCGGGAUAACACCUCGAUGACGUGACGGUACCUCCAGAGGAAGCUCCGGCUAACUCCGUGCCAGCAGCCGCGGUAACACGGGGGGAGCAAGCGUUGUUCGGAAUUACUGGGCGUAAAGGGCGUGUAGGCGGACUCGGUAGUCAGGCGUGAAAACUCAUGGCUUAACCAUGAGCCGGCGUCUGAAACUCCUUGUCUUGAGUACAGAAGAGGAGAGUGGAAUUCCUGGUGUAGCGGUGAAAUGCGUAGAUAUCAGGAAGAACACCGGUGGCGAAGGCGACUCUCUGGUCUGAUACUGACGCUGAGGCGCGAAAGCGUGGGGAGCAAACAGGAUUAGAUACCCUGGUAGUCCACGCCGUAAACGAUGGGCACUAGGUGUUGGGGGUAUCGAUCCCUCCAGUGCCGAAGUUAACGCAUUAAGUGCCCCGCCUGGGGAGUACGAUCGCAAGAUUGAAACUCAAAGGAAUUGACGGGGGCCCGCACAAGCGGUGGAGCAUGUGGUUUAAUUCGACGCAACGCGAAGAACCUUACCGGGGUUUGACAUAUACCUGAAAGCUGUCGAAAUACAGCCUUCCUUUUGGACAGGUAUACAGGUGCUGCAUGGCUGUCGUCAGCUCGUGUCGUGAGAUGUUGGGUUAAGUCCCGCAACGAGCGCAACCCUUGUCCUUAGUUGCCAUCAGGUAAUGCUGGGAACUCUAAGGAGACUGCCGGUGAUAAGCCGGAGGAAGGUGGGGAUGACGUCAAGUCCUCAUGGCCCUUACGCCCCGGGCUACACACGUGCUACAAUGGCUGGUACAGUGGGUUGCAAUGCCGCGAGGUGGAGCCAAUCCGCAAAGCCAGUCUCAGUUCGGAUCGCAGUCUGCAACUCGACUGCGUGAAGUCGGAAUCGCUAGUAAUCGCGGAUCAGCAAGCCGCGGUGAAUACGUUCCCGGGCCUUGUACACACCGCCCGUCAAACCACGAAAGUCGGCAGUACCCGAAGUCCGUGAGCCAACCUCGUGAGGCAGCGGCCGAAGGUGGGACUGAUGACUGGGGUGAAGUCGUAACAAGGUAACC
RNAcentral lists this ribosomal RNA (1518 nucleotides) under uncultured bacterium. RNAcentral's name for it is "bacterial SSU rRNA". It matches the Rfam family "Bacterial small subunit ribosomal RNA". The record is from RNAcentral.